Saccostrea cuccullata (small rock oyster) is the source of this 344-nucleotide long non-coding RNA. RefSeq lists it as uncharacterized. NCBI's taxonomy places the organism in Eukaryota, Metazoa, Mollusca, Bivalvia, Ostreida, Ostreidae. The transcript has 3 exons. The record is from RefSeq and is a predicted model, not a curated record.
UCUUCGUAAAGCUUUUCUCGGUGACUUGUAUAGUGGCACUUCUUACAUCAAAUGGAAAGGAUCCAUGCCAGGCCUCGUUUUUCCUCCCCAUGCUGAUUCCAGUCCAGUGGACCAUCACAGUCAGGAAACUUCUAGCUGCCUGGUCUUCUAAGAGAAACUCCAUUCUUUGAUGACUGAUGGAAAAGCCUCAUCACCCCCCCCCCCACUGCUUAAGAACCCCUUAUCUUAAUCACCAGCCAAUAAUCAGUGAUCACUGUUACCAAAGCUCCAAGGUGCGGAUGAUGCAACUUCCUGGAUGGUGUGUAGGCUGUUUGUCAACAUGUGAAUCCCACGUGCAUUUCGGG